ACUAACAAAGUUUAGACACAUAAAUUUUGAAGGUCUAGCUACCAUAUUAUUACCCACAAGAGUAAAGGAACAGGACCGCUGCUGGAUAAUUGGAAAGUCCCUGUGUGUCAACCUCUGUGCUCCGUGGCAAGAUAGACUAGCAAACAGGCCUAACCUUUAUUCACAUUCGAGAAAACACUCCCAACAAGAUUGCUUGCUUCAAGAUCGAAGAGGCACCGUCCUCCGAAUCUCAAGAGCCAGACUCCCAACAUGAUUACUUUCUCAAAAAGCGACGAGACACCGCUCUCCGAAUCUCGAGAGCCAGACUCCUAGCAGGAUUGCUUUCUCAAAAAUCGAAGAGGC
This 342-nucleotide long non-coding RNA is filed under the name Malus domestica (apple). RNAcentral describes it as "long non-coding RNA (MDOM_LNC006742)". The record is from RNAcentral. Lineage: Eukaryota; Viridiplantae; Streptophyta; Magnoliopsida; Rosales; Rosaceae.